This 710-nucleotide ribosomal RNA is filed under the name uncultured anaerobic ammonium-oxidizing bacterium. RNAcentral's name for it is "bacterial SSU rRNA". It matches the Rfam family "Bacterial small subunit ribosomal RNA", at positions 358 to 1051 of the family's 1533-position model. The record is from RNAcentral.
AGAAUCUUUCGCAAUGCCCGAAAGGGUGACGAAGCGACGCCGCGUGUCGGAAGAAGGCCUUCGGGUUGUAAACCACUGUCGGGAGUUAAGAAAUGUAAGGAUGUUAAUAGCGUCCUUACUUGACUAAGGCUCCGGAGGAAGCCACGGCUAACUCUGUGCCAGCAGCCGCGGUAAUACAGAGGCGGCAAGCGUUGUUCGGAAUUAUUGGGCGUAAAGAGCACGUAGGCGGCCUUGAAAGUCAGUUGUGAAAGCCUUCUGCUUAACGGAAGAACAGCAUCUGAUACUACAGGGCUUGAGUGCGGGAGGGGAGAGUGGAACUUCUGGUGGAGCGGUGAAAUGCGUAGAUAUCAGAAGGAACGCCGGCGGCGAAAGCGGCUCUCUGGCUCGUAACUGACGCUGAGUGUGCGAAAGCUAGGGGAUCAAACGGGAUUAGAUACCCCGGUAGUCCUAGCCGUAAACGAUGGGCACUAAGUAGAGGGGUUUUGAUUAUCUCUCUGCCGGAGCUAACGCAUUAAGUGCCCCGCCUGGGAAGUACGGCCGCAAGGCUAAAACUCAAAAGAAUUGACGGGGGCUCGCACAAGCGGUGGAGCAUGUGGCUUAAUUCGAUGCAACGCGAAGAACCUUACCGGGGUUUGACAUGGUAGAAGUAGGAACCAGAAACGGUAACGAACGGUAUCCAGUCCGCAACUAUCACAGGUGUUGCAUGGCUG